GCGAGUAAUGUCGGGAACUCCAGGGAGACUGCCGGUGAUAAACCGGAGGAAGGUGGGGACGACGUCAAGUCAUCAUGGCCCUUACGAGUAGGGCUACACACGUGCUACAAUGGCGCAUACAGAGGGCAGCCAACUUGCGAAAGUGAGCGAAUCCCAAAAAGUGCGUCGUAGUCCGGAUUGGAGUCUGCAACUCGACUCCAUGAAGUCGGAAUCGCUAGUAAUCGUGGAUCAGAAUGCCACGGUGAAUACGUUCCCGGGCCUUGUACACACCGCCCGUCACACCAUGGGAGUGGGCUGCAAAAGAAGUAGGUAGUUUAACCUUCGGGGGGACGCUUACCACUUUGUGGUUCAUGACUGGGGUGAAGUCGUAACAAGGUAGCGCUAGGGGAACCUGGCGCUGGAUCACCUCCUUAUACGAUGAU
This 422-nucleotide ribosomal RNA is filed under the name Vibrio sp. 7-5(1-a). Its description in RNAcentral is "bacterial SSU rRNA". It matches the Rfam family "Bacterial small subunit ribosomal RNA", at positions 1121 to 1533 of the family's 1533-position model. Lineage: Bacteria; Pseudomonadati; Pseudomonadota; Gammaproteobacteria; Vibrionales; Vibrionaceae. RNAcentral also lists the same sequence under 1 other name. The record is from RNAcentral.